RNAcentral lists this long non-coding RNA (505 nucleotides) under Androctonus crassicauda. The record is from RNAcentral. Lineage: Eukaryota; Metazoa; Arthropoda; Arachnida; Scorpiones; Buthidae.
AAAUUUGUCAAAAGCAUUGGAAGAGGGUAGAAUAAAAUAGUUAUUUCUUAAGGCAUCGAGAUAUGUAUUUUUAUUUUAUGAAUCAAAAGUCAUUCCCAGCCUUUAAAUUCAAAUGGGAUGCUCCCAUGCCAUGUCCAAAGUUUAGUUAUCACAUGAUAUUAAGCAUUAGUACUUUCCGACAAGUAUUGAACCUCAUGGGCAUUCCAAUAACAGAGAUGAUGUUAGAUGCUUUUAUUAUUAAAAAUGUUUAUUAUAGUAAUAAUAUAUAUCCAUUAAUCCAUAAUUACUGUAUUUUAUAAUUUGAAAUAAAACAUUUGAAAAUUCUAGUUGAUAAAAAUUUUUGGUUGUCAAUAGAGAGUGAACAGUUUAGACCAGUGGUUCUCAAAGUGUGCACCAGGGUGCACUGGUGCGCCCUAGAAGAUUUCUGAGUGCAUCCUAUGAUAUUCCAAAGAAAUAUGUGUCCAGAGAUAAAAUAUAGUUAUUCUAUUAUACCGUUUAAUUACCG